RNAcentral lists this ribosomal RNA (253 nucleotides) under uncultured bacterium. RNAcentral's name for it is "partial 16S ribosomal RNA". It matches the Rfam family "Bacterial small subunit ribosomal RNA", at positions 524 to 776 of the family's 1533-position model. The record is from RNAcentral.
UACGAGAGGCCCAAACGUUAUUCGGAUUUACUGGGCUUAAAGAGUUCGUAGGCGGCGCGGAAAGUAGGGUGUGAAAGCCCUCGGCUCAACCGAGGAAUUGCGCUCUAAACUACCGUGCUUGAGGAAGCUAGAGGUGAGCGGAACUGAUGGUGGAGCGGUGAAAUGCGUUGAUAUCAUCAGGAACACCGGAGGCGAAGGCGGCUCACUGGACCGGUACUGACGCUGAGGCGCGAAAGCGUGGGGAGCAAACGGG